RNAcentral lists this small RNA (469 nucleotides) under Mycosphaerella sp. 2041 FePP. Its description in RNAcentral is "eukaryotic LSU rRNA". The stretch from base 161 to 314 matches the Rfam family "5.8S ribosomal RNA". Lineage: Eukaryota; Fungi; Ascomycota; Dothideomycetes; Mycosphaerellales; Mycosphaerellaceae. The record is from RNAcentral.
AGAACUCUCCCCUCGGGGAGAGGGGGCCGUAUCCCACACCCUUUGUGAACCACAACUCUGUUGCUUCGGGGGCGACCCUGCCGUCAGGCGGCGGUGCCCCCGGUGGCCUUCAACUAAACUCUGCAUCUUUUGCGUCGGAGUCUUUUAAGGAAUUAAACAAAACUUUCAACAACGGAUCUCUUGGUUCUGGCAUCGAUGAAGAACGCAGCGAAAUGCGAUAAGUAAUGUGAAUUGCAGAAUUCAGUGAAUCAUCGAAUCUUUGAACGCACAUUGCGCCCCGUGGUAUUCCGCGGGGCAUGCCUGUUCGAGCGUCAUUUCACCACUCAAGCCUAGCUUGGUAUUGGGCGCCGCGGCGAUCUCCAUCGCUGCGCGCCUUAAAGUCUCCGGCUGAGCAGUCUGUCUCCGAGCGUUGUGACACAUGUCGCUAGGGAGUGCAGGUCUGCCGCGGCCGUUAAAUCUUUAUUCAAGG